ACAAAAGCUGCAGUGUGGCAGAGACUUGGAGUUUCCCCAGAGAGCUUCGCCCUGGCUGAAUGAUGCAGUGAGCCCGAGCAGACACUGCUGACGACUUGGUGCAUUAGAGUGGCGAUACCAAGAAGCAGUUUGGAGGCAUUAACAUCCCCACCUCUACUACCAGAAGACUUUGUGACAGUUGACUUUUUCACACUAGAAAGCAGCAGACUGCUGGAGAUCCUACAUCAGCUCAGUGGAUCUUGCGUGAUUAAUCACCAAAGUGCCAAAUGGCAGCCCUGUGCUAGCAAGACCUGAGUGCGCAACACUUCUUCGCUAUGGCUUGGCCAUGACUUAACAUCUGGAAUUAAGACUCAAGUUGAAGGGGUCCAUGCUCCUUUGGUAAGGCCUUCUUGGUGCAUGUACUGUGCCAUUUGGGGGGCUUUUGCACUCCUGAAGCAAGCGCUUCAUUUCAGUGGAACAGUGAAAUUUAGGGAGUUAGUGGGUAGCACUUCGGAGUGUAAUGGCAGCACUUUCUUGGCCAGUAGCCCCAGGCUGGGAAAGUCAGUUCCAGGAAAAAUAAAAGAAGUAGAAACUUACUUGCAGGCUGACAGCAAAAAUCAUUUAUUGUGGGAAAGCUAAGCUUAAACCUACUAAAAACCCAGUAAUUUCUGUCCCUCCCUUCUUGCCCCAGAAACACUGACACAUGGAGAGAGAACUUUCUGAAUUUACUUCCUUAAAUAUGUCAGGCACCUUGGUCCUGAAACUACCCCUCCAAGCCCAGAGAGACUAUGGGGGAAUGUUGCACAGAAAUUAAUGCAGCUCUUAGUUUCUGCUCUUCAAAACACCUGGUGUGGCCAAACCAAAUCCAGCUUUAAACAGGAGGAGGGCAUUGGCAAGAUACUUCCAGUUACAAGGCCUUAAAUCUUUAGUUUAUCCUCUGUAAGCAAGAGUUCUCAUCUGAAAACCUUCUAGUGGCGCAGAGCUGCUUUUUAUACUUUCCCAGCCUUUUUUUAUGUAGACCAGAGGUUGAUUAAAUCCAUGCCAUUGUAUCGGACACCACAGUUACAUCUGAGUGGCGCCCCUGUUUAUAGAAAUGAAUCAGGAAAGUAGCACUUUAAAUACUUGUCCAUGCUAAACUAGACACACUAAAAACUGUUCAGAUAGAACGGGGUAUAAAUGUUUUAAAAAUAUAAAGGUAAAGUCUUUAAUAAAACACAUUUCUGUAGACUUGAAUUCUAGUUCCAUUGUCUGUAUUUAGAACAAAUGUAUUUUUUCCCGGGGGUGGCUGUGAGAGGGGCGCCGGAUGCCUGCGCCUGAUUGCCGUCUGCCAGUAAUAGAACUAUUUGUAUGUGGCUAGGACAGGUUUCUUUUUUAAUAAAGUUUUUGCAGACUGAGUGACACCAAAUAAUAGGAAUAUGUAGGCAGAAAACCACGCAAUAAGCACCAGGACCUGGAACAUGGUGGUGUCAGUGGUUAGAGAACAAGCUCUCUGCUAAAGAAGUAUUUAGAAAACCACGCCUGCAGCUGUGAUAGCUGCAGCUGGAAAGCGGCUGGCACGGUCCUUGCGCCGUGCACAGAGCGCCACCCGCUGCCUCUGCGGUGUGGAGCCUUCCUCUCCUGCCCGCUCUUCCUCUUUCGCUAAUGCGGGUAUGGACACACAGACACACAGAGCACACUGUUAUAUACGAGACCCUUUCCUCAGGAAUGCUUACUUUCUUUAUGAUUAUGGAAAUAGGCUGAAAUUCUGCAGAUCCACGUGGAUAGACUUGCCGAAUGUCACAGAACCGCUGAGAGGUCCAGUUCUCCGCUCAGCCAGCGCCAUAAGAAAAGGUGAGGGAAGGGAAACAGUAAGUAAAGGAGCGAUGUUUUCAGCUGAGGUUACUGCACUGAGUUACAAAAAUACCCUGAUGGUUAGGUAACUCAGCAAAUGGACUGUCAUCCACUGCUAAUUUCAUUUUCCCUGCUCAGUUGAGAAGAAAUGUUUUCUGUUCACAGCAGAAAAUUUUUAUAUUCAAACUUAAUCAUAUUAAUUUCUGAAAUGAAUUAAGUCUCUGAUUCAGGUUUUCAGACUGAGCAUGCAUUGGUUAUUUUGAAUAGAUCAUAUGAACAGAAGAAAUUGUUAGCUACCUGUUAAAACACGCUGUUCACUUACGACAAUGUUAUAAGGGGUUAUGGGAAUGUAUAAUAACCGAGUCCUUUGUGGCCGUACAGAUAGAUGCAAUUCUGCCUCACUGCAACUCUGCCAGAAAGGUAAAUGUUACUUCAGUUUCCUGGAGAGGAAAAGGGGAGCUCCCGUGUGGCUAAGUAUAGUUACAUGUCAGCAUCAUCUGCCACCAGAUGACUAUCUGGAUAUUACAGAAGUGACGUGAGUUCAGCCCAUGUUCUUCAGUAGGGGACUCCUGCAGAAUCUUGAUUUCCUCCUGCGAACCUCAGAGGCCCUGCGUGAUGACUUGCUCUGCCUGAGGAGAUCUGAGUGAAAUCUAGACAGAAGACUGCAAUUUCCAUCUUGAACUUUGCCUACAGGGAUCAUUUCAGAUCCUCUCUCUUGUCAGUACUGGUAGCUCAGCUCUUUAAUUUGGUGUUGUAUAAAUUUUUUUGCCAGAGCACAGAUAAAUAAAGUGGCCGUCCCCUUUUAGGGGCCAGGCCUUGUGGGUUCCCGAAAAGGACAAUUCCUAUUAAGGUCAGAGAGUGCGUAGCUGGGGAGAAGGCAGCCUGACAGCCCUGGCAUGUGGUCUGGGAGCUGCAUGAAAGAAUGCCGCAGCUGGCUUUAGUUAAGGGAGUAGUUGUGUUACCUUUUGAUUUUUAUAUUUGCGGAAUAAAACAGAGCUCUGAGAGAGGAACUUGAAUAGAUGGGGGGAUACGCCGCUGGCUCUUUCUCUGCUGGAGACAGAGACGAGCAGCUUACACAAACAAGUCUGCUGCAAAUUUACAGGAACCUCUACACUUAACUGCCUCAUUUGUGUUAGUGUUUGACAAUUUUCCUAGCUUUUUAAACAACUAACAUGACAGUCUGUUGCUACAACCUGUGUUGCUGAUGAUGGGUAUGUUUUGGUGGGAAGGAUCCUCUCUGUUUCAGGCACCUCCGUGCUGUUGUGCACCCCGAGCUGUGCUCCCUGGGCAGCAGUCUCUAAACCAGUGGUUAUUCCUGCAGCAGAGGUUCUUGCUGUCAUGUGGCAGACUCACAAGUAAAAUCAGAGAUACUUUGAGCGAGCUUUACCCAAGCAAUAAAUUGUCUUAGAGAGAUGGGAUCAGAGUCAAGAAGCAAACAUAGAUAAAUAUUCAAAGCGAAAAGCUACGUUAGUGACUCAUCAGUUCUUAAUUUGAGUUCUCUGAAAGAGGCAAAAGUCCUACUUUGUACAUUCUUACAAGAAAAGCUAACGAAAAGAAUGAAUGAGGACUAGACAUUCAAGUUUUCCUCACCAUAUUGUCCUUGACAUCCUUUGUGGAAGAGCAUCCAGUGAAGGUGACUACUAAAGAGUUUGAAACGCACUUAUCUACACUCAAGUUCUCAAGGAUUCCUCUCAAAUCUCAGCAAAGACGCAUCUUGUGAAGGCCACUUUCAGCGCAGAGUCAUAUAUAUUCCACGUGUGGUUUACAAGCUCAGUGCCAAACAUCUACACCCAAUCAAGAAGGAAGGACAAACUUCAGUUCAUAUUGGGUACUGCAUUACAGCUUGAGAUUUCGCCGUUAUAUAGGCAUCUGGAUCAGAUAACUGAACUGUGCACUUCUGCGGUCUUUAUUUAUCUGUCAUGUAUUUCAUGGAAAUGUGAAGCAAAUUUUUAAAGAAAAGAUAUUGUAUAAUCAGGUAUCUUCAAACUGCAGUGCUGCAUUAUCACAAAAUAACGACUCAGAUUUGAGAGGGAGUUGUUUUAUGACAUCUGCUGCGUCCAUCAUUUCCUCUUUCUGCUGACCAGAAAACUAAUGAUAAUCUGUGUGAAACAGAAGUUUCUAUAAACUCUACCAUUCUUCUCCUGCUCCAGAACAAAGCAACCCGGAAAAAGGCUGCUAGACUCUGCACUCAAAUAUCCUUCGUUUAGACACAGAUUCAUAUUGAUCUUUUACAGAGACUGUAUUUGUGUUUGUCAACAGUAAAAGGUGUUCUGUACUUUUAUUAGCCAGGUCCUAUCAUUCAGUAAUUUCUCUAACAAAAUUCUGCUGGUGCACAGACUUCACAGCCCUUUUCCAUCACGCUCAUUGACUCCCUGUCUUUGGUCAUCUUGUUUGACAGCUUCUCUCAGACCCAUGCUUUCCUAUUUUGCAAAUAGUCUUCUUCCUGAACUAGUUUGUAAAGUAAUAUUCUCUUCCAAAUCAUGCCCUGGGGGUUACCUCUACAUAAUGUUUACGGGAAAACACCCAGCCACUAUCAUUAGCAAUGUAUCAGAAGCUUGGUUAACAGGUUUGCAAUUGAUUUCUUUACACAAUUUAGACUCGCUGAUUGUUUAGGCUUAACUAUCUUCUUGACUUUGGUUUAUCAAACAGUCUUACAUCCUCACAGAGAAAUGCCUCAAUGGAUUCUUGUUCAUACUAAGGAUAAUUUGGGCAGGUUAAUAAAAGAAAAAAGAAUUGUCAUACCUAGAAAAGCUGACUUUUUAUAUGGCAAUUAUAUUUAGGGUUACAGCAUGAUGUUGGAAGGCACUUAUUUCAUUAUGAAAAUUAAAACAUUCAGAGAAAAUGGACAGUGAUGUGACCUUUUACAAAGAUACCUGUUUUUCUGUCCAUAUUUACUAAUCCAGGCUCCUGGUCCAUACGGACAGUCUAGCAAGCUUAGUCAUAGGAGCAAAAAUCUACCUAACCAAUAAACUCUCCAGCAUCCCCGAAAUAAUCCCAGGCUAUAAUAUUAAUGGAAAAAAAAUGUAGAAAAGCAAAGAACACCAAAGUAAAUGUAAGAGGAAACAG
Long non-coding RNA from Dromaius novaehollandiae (emu), 4875 nucleotides. RefSeq lists it as uncharacterized. Lineage: Eukaryota; Metazoa; Chordata; Aves; Casuariiformes; Dromaiidae. The transcript has 3 exons. The record is from RefSeq and is a predicted model, not a curated record.